Molecule: long non-coding RNA, 817 nt
Organism: Pteronotus mesoamericanus
Lineage: Eukaryota; Metazoa; Chordata; Mammalia; Chiroptera; Mormoopidae
Exons: 3
Source: RefSeq, a predicted model, not a curated record
GGGGGCGUUUCCGCCUCCAUCUUUAAGUAGGGCAGACGCGGGUCGCUUCGGUAGCGGUACGGCGAUGCCCGCUUGCCCUACUGCAGAUCGCGGCAGAAGUCGGUCAAAGGAGGCCCUGGUCCCGGAGGUCACAGACUGAGGAGUGGUGAUUACGGCGGGCCAGAGCCUGGGAUGAGGCCACGGGCAUUGUCCUGAGGAUACGGGGUGUCCCAUCGCAAACCUCAACAAUCUGCUCGCGAAGAUUUUAGUUGAGGCAUAACAUCCCCAAAGAUGAGAAAAGGAAACAGACCACUGAGAGUUUCUACUCUGGAAAGCAGAAAUAAGACAACUGUAAGAACAACAGGAAGUGGCUAUAAAAAAAUGAAUGUUCAGGGAAUGAAACACGUGUGGAAAUUAAAACUCUUAGCAGAUAAUCAAUGUCACAACACAAGACCUGAAAGACAUAACUGAAGAACUUUUUGGACAGCAGAACACAAAGAAAGGGAAGAUUGGAGUGAGAACAUUGGAGAACCUGUCCCAGAGGCCUACAGCCAAGGAACAGGUAUUCCAGAAACCAGAACAAAACAAUAGAGCCCUGGCUGGUGUGGUUCAGUGGACUGAGUGCAGCCUGCAAACCAAAUGGUCACUGGUUCGAUUCCCAGUCAGGACACAGGCCUGGGUUGUGGGCCAGGCCCCGCAGUGGGACCGGGGCCACAACCAGACAGUGAUGUUUCUCUCCCUCUCUCCCCAUCUCUAAAGAUAAAUAAAAUCUUUAAAACAAACAAACAAAAAAAAAAUGGAGAAGGAAAUCAAAGAAACCAUUCCAGCCAUUUUCCCA